RNAcentral lists this ribosomal RNA (522 nucleotides) under Bifidobacterium longum subsp. suillum. RNAcentral's name for it is "bacterial SSU rRNA". It matches the Rfam family "Bacterial small subunit ribosomal RNA", at positions 164 to 701 of the family's 1533-position model. Lineage: Bacteria; Bacillati; Actinomycetota; Actinomycetes; Bifidobacteriales; Bifidobacteriaceae. The record is from RNAcentral.
UAAUGCCGGAUGCUCCAGUUGAUCGCAUGGUCUUCUGGGAAAGCUUUCGCGGUAUGGGAUGGGGUCGCGUCCUAUCAGCUUGACGGCGGGGUAACGGCCCACCGUGGCUUCGACGGGUAGCCGGCCUGAGAGGGCGACCGGCCACAUUGGGACUGAGAUACGGCCCAGACUCCUACGGGAGGCAGCAGUGGGGAAUAUUGCACAAUGGGCGCAAGCCUGAUGCAGCGACGCCGCGUGAGGGAUGGAGGCCUUCGGGUUGUAAACCUCUUUUAUCGGGGAGCAAGCGAGAGUGAGUUUACCCGUUGAAUAAGCACCGGCUAACUACGUGCCAGCAGCCGCGGUAAUACGUAGGGUGCAAGCGUUAUCCGGAAUUAUUGGGCGUAAAGGGCUCGUAGGCGGUUCGUCGCGUCCGGUGUGAAAGUCCAUCGCUUAACGGUGGAUCCGCGCCGGGUACGGGCGGGCUUGAGUGCGGUAGGGGAGACUGGAAUUCCCGGUGUAACGGUGGAAUGUGUAGAUAUCGGG